This 330-nucleotide unclassified non-coding RNA is filed under the name soil metagenome. RNAcentral describes it as "partial contains 5.8S ribosomal RNA, internal transcribed spacer 2, and large subunit ribosomal RNA". The stretch from base 2 to 121 matches the Rfam family "5.8S ribosomal RNA", at positions 35 to 154 of the family's 154-position model. The record is from RNAcentral.
GGAUGAAGAACGUAGCGAAAUGCGAUAAGUAAUGUGAAUUGCAGAAUUCAGUGAAUCAUCGAAUCUUUGAACGCACAUUGCGCCCCUUGGUAUUCCGAGGGGCAUGCCUGUUCGAGCGUCAUUAUAACCCCUCAAGCUCAGCUUGAUGUUGGGGCCUGCUGCACUGGCAGCCCUUAAAAUCAGUGGCGGCGCCAUCUGGCUCUAAGCGUAGUAAUUCUUCUCGCUAUGGAGUCCUGGUGGAUGCUUGCCAUCAACCCCCAAUUUUUCUAUGGUUGACCUCGGAUCAGGUAGGGAUACCCGCUGAACUUAAGCAUAUCAAUAAGCGGAGGA